UCUCAACUCAAGUAUGAAAAACAUGACCACUUUCUUCUCCACCACCACCGCCACCUAUACAUAUAAAUCAUCAUCUUUUUCUUUUUCUUCUUCGAACAACGACAAUAAGUCAAGGGAAAUUAGGUUGUUGAGUUGUUGAGUUACUGAUAAAGGAUGAGAAGAACAAGAAAGCAGAAAUUGAGAGAUUAAACAAUAUUUUGAUGGGUAUGUAUGUGGUUUAUUUGAGUAACAAAUGGAAAUUAGGGUUCUUAAUUUUUAUGGAUAAUUUAUAUUGAAAUUGAAGAAUUGAGUUACGAUGCUUGUGUUCAAAGAAUCAGAAGAUCGAGAUUACAACAGUUUGGGGUUGAAAUGGUGGCUUGUUUGGCUUGAAGUUGAUGGUGCUGAGAUAUGUGCAACUAAAUAUUGGUUGGAUGCAAUGGAAAUUAGGGUUCUUAGGGAUGAUUUGUUGAAGUCAUUGGGUUCUGAUGCUUGUUGGUUGUGUAGGUUACAUUAUGAAAACAUUGUUGAUAUGGGAAUUAGGUUUCUUGCAG
Molecule: long non-coding RNA, 530 nt
Organism: Papaver somniferum (opium poppy)
Lineage: Eukaryota; Viridiplantae; Streptophyta; Magnoliopsida; Ranunculales; Papaveraceae
Exons: 2
Source: RefSeq, a predicted model, not a curated record